This 1661-nucleotide long non-coding RNA is filed under the name Bemisia tabaci. RNAcentral describes it as "lncRNA ENSSSA1UGG008386". Lineage: Eukaryota; Metazoa; Arthropoda; Insecta; Hemiptera; Aleyrodidae. The record is from RNAcentral.
GGCCACUACAGAGGUAUUUUCGAAACAUACUAUUUGGAUUAUUAUUAUCAUUUUACAGCAGAGGUAGUUCCACCCUUGCUCUCCUUAGUCAAGAGUUUAUCUUUAAUUGAUCGGUUUUCUCAAAUAGUUCACCAAUGCAGAUACGUGAUUUUGUACAUGAGCUAGAAAUAGUAGUUCUUAUUGCAGAUUGAAGUGAAAGUAUUUUUUGCUAAGGUUUUCUAAUGCUAAUUCUUGUAAUUUUCUUCUCUAUUUCAGACGCGUGGAUUGUGCGGGAUAGCGUGACCAAAGAAUGGGGUUUGGAGGGUCAUUUUCUGGUUAGAAAAGGAAGAUGUGGGGUAGGUCUUCAGACUUACAAGAUCGACGGACUAACGCAGAUGCCCGAUCCUAGAAAACGCCCGAUCAGCCAAGUGUCGUCAGAUGCAGGGGCUUUUUCUUCGAGUAAAAGAGUUGCGGUCAAAUAAGGGUCAUACCCGUGCCCUGAAGAGACAAGUCAUUGAGAUUCCUUCGGAAUCAGAAACAAGCAGUUCCGACGCCAAAUCGUUGGAGGGCGCUUCUUUAACACUGCGAGUUUAGUUCACUAGACCCUCUGCCAGGCAGCGCUGACGUCACCGCUAACUACAGUUGAGGGUCCUCAUUUAUUCUCUUGGUCCAUGACUUAACCUCAAACCUUCAGCCCAAAGCCGCAAACAGCUGACGCUUGACAAUGCUGCGCCAAGAAAAUGAACCAAUCACAACAUAGUACAGUAAUACGUUACUAAAAUGAAGAGAUCACGUGACUGUUCGUAAUUUUUUCAAAUUCGACCUGAAAGUACUGCUUCGGAUAUAAGCAUUUAAGCAUAACGAGGCCCUCAAAUAAUUUAACCAGGUAAUACGUCCGUGCGCGGAUUUUAUGUUAAAAGCAAAACAUUUCACGAACAUUUUUACAAUUACCAGAGAAGAACAAAAUACAAAUUUUACCGCGUGGACCAGAAUGGCGGCAUUACCCACAAGGGAAAAGGUUAUGUUUUAUAGUACAUGUUACAUCCGGAGACCCGAACGGCUGGAAAGUAAAAAAAUCGUAAAAAAGUAACAAAAUCGGAAAAAGUGCAUUACGUAAUGCUUGAACGGCCCCGUGCGGCGUGCGGCGUUCUUGAGUGGUACGACUCGAGGUUUGCCGCCUGCUAGCUUAAUCAAAUGACGUUCGAGCUGCGAAUUGGAGGCGCAAAAUCCCCAUUCGGGUUGGGCGGCCCAGUUAGCGCAAGUUGGAAGCACAUCGGAGUCGUCCGGUUUCACCCUUAUGUUGUGUCUCGAAUCAAAGUUGGUGAUUUAAAACUCAUGGUGAAAGGUUUCAUUGUACCAGGAAUGGAGAUGUUGCAUGUUUGAGGAAUUUGCGAUUUGACUAUUCAUUCUUAGGUAAAAGUUCGCGAGAAACACGAAGGUACCACUGCUUUUCUCUGAGAUCAACUCCCAAGCUCAAAAAAGCUCUCGAUUUGAGGCCAAAAUGGAGGGGAUAUCCCACGCUAUCCUCAGAGUCCACCUCUACAUCAAGACAAACUCUCCAUGCAAAGAUAGGGAGCAAAUACAUUGACUUUAUUUGGGGACUCUAAAACUGAAAACAUGGCAUCACUGCUAAUGUAUUUGCCAGUUUGUCUUGAUAUAGAAGUGGACUCUCAGGAUAGCGU